Long non-coding RNA from Neopsephotus bourkii (Bourke's parrot), 480 nucleotides. RefSeq lists it as uncharacterized. Lineage: Eukaryota; Metazoa; Chordata; Aves; Psittaciformes; Psittacidae. The record is from RefSeq and is a predicted model, not a curated record. The transcript is spliced from 2 exons.
CUCACACCGCGCAGGUCCUUGGAGAGCUCGGGUUCUGCCUGCGAGAGGUACGUGAGGAGAGUGAGGAAGCGGGAGCGAGGGAGGCAGGGCUGUGCCGUGCCGCCUCUUGCAGCCCUGCCUUGAGGGGAUCUGAACUUGUCCUGUCCGCCCUAAAGAUAACGGGGUGCUGAGGUAAACACGGCCUAAGUAAAGCACACGGACCUGUCCUAUUGCAGAGUCGCUGCGCCCAGUGCUCUGCAGAUUGCUGAAGGACAGCCCACAGCAUACAGAUAGCGUUAAUGUCAGAGACUCGUACAAGGUGCAGGUCUGAGGCCCAAAACGUGUUUACACCUAUGACUGUGCUCAACAGCAGUGUGUAAUGUAGGCUGCGUGCAUUCCUCCUCAGAGUACCCUCAUUCCCUCUCUUAAUGGGGGAUGAUGCAACUCGAUGCCAUUUCAAGAUAAGGACACAGGAAAAAAUAAAGAAAUGGGAAAUUCCUC